GAUCUUGCGUCUACGGCCUGCGCGCGUUGCGUAAGGCUGAUGGCUGGUGGCUGGAGCCACCGGCCU
RNAcentral lists this small RNA (66 nucleotides) under Azotobacter chroococcum. Its description in RNAcentral is "Pseudomonas sRNA P26". It matches the Rfam family "Pseudomonas sRNA P26". From Rfam's summary of the family: P26 is conserved across many Gammaproteobacteria species and appears to be consistently located between the DNA directed RNA polymerase (beta subunit) and 50S ribosomal protein L7/L12 genes. Lineage: Bacteria; Pseudomonadati; Pseudomonadota; Gammaproteobacteria; Pseudomonadales; Pseudomonadaceae. The record is from RNAcentral.